UUCAGGCUCAGAAUCCUUUGAUUUUUCCCUGUGGUGUGGCCUUUAGCUAGGAGCAGGGUCACGAGUCACCUCCCUGGAGGCCCCUGCCAUGCCUGCUCAGGGAGAGGGUGGGAAGGGGUGUCUGCCUCUUCCUGUGGACCCCGACACAAGCCAUCUGGCCUCCUGGCGCCUGAGACAACUGGGAAUAAGACACCUUCCCUUGCAGAGCUGCUGGCCAAGGGCUAAGCCAGCAGCGCAGUGACUGCCCCAUGGGAAGCUGUCCACAUACCAAGCACUUUUCCUCACUCCCUCCACAGAUUCGCCUACACCCUGAUGGUGCUUGAGUUUCAGAGCUCACAGGCCUCCUCUUCCCCAGGUCGGCCUCCUGCAGCUGCUCCAGGUAAAAGAGUAUGUGGGACAAAACGACCUGAGAACAUGAGGCUCAGCCCCUGCUUCUCUGUCGGAAGGAGUGGUGGAGACGAUCAGACCAUUUCACUUACGUCACCAACGACAAAAUAUGUUUUCCUCUGCCCUCAACCACGCGGUCAGCACAAGAGUUCUGCUCUGACUCCAGGGCAGAGUCUGUCGAGCUCAUCUCCAAACAAAUUAGAGAAGAUGAGAUGUGGUGAUGGAUGAGAAGGUGGCUAAGAGAGACUCCAGCCAACACAGCUUUUCAUGAUUGGGAUCAAACUCAAUCUGCAGGAGAGCUCCAGAGAGAACAAGGCCCCGUCCCUCAUUUCACCCCCACACAAAGCUGAGGCCAGAGAACGUCAAGACUUACCCAAGGUCACACAGCCACAUAGCAGCAGAGCUGGGACUGGGCUCUAGCUGUCCUACUGCACAGGCCCCUUCUUUCCCACUCAGGCCGACU
Molecule: long non-coding RNA, 850 nt
Filed under: Sus scrofa (pig)
Lineage: Eukaryota; Metazoa; Chordata; Mammalia; Artiodactyla; Suidae
Description: lncRNA (ENSSSCG00060004837.1)
Source: RNAcentral